UACGUAGGGGGCAAGCGUUGUCCGGAUUUAUUGGGCGUAAAGCGCGUGUAGGCGGCUUGGUAGGUCAGCUGUGAAAACUCGAGGCUCAACCUCGAGCUGUCGGUUGAAACCACCUUGCUAGAGUCCGGAAGAGGAGAGUGGAAUUCCUGGUGUAGCGGUGAAAUGCGCAGAUAUCAGGAGGAACACCGAUUGCGAAGGCAGCUCGCUGGGACGUUACUGACGCUGAGACGCGAAAGCGUGGGGAGCAAACAGG
This 253-nucleotide ribosomal RNA is filed under the name uncultured bacterium. RNAcentral's name for it is "partial 16S ribosomal RNA". It matches the Rfam family "Bacterial small subunit ribosomal RNA", at positions 524 to 776 of the family's 1533-position model. The record is from RNAcentral.